This is a non-coding RNA of Marmota flaviventris (yellow-bellied marmot), 1663 nucleotides long. The record is from RefSeq and is a predicted model, not a curated record. Lineage: Eukaryota; Metazoa; Chordata; Mammalia; Rodentia; Sciuridae.
GGCGGGGGGGGGGGCACUUUUCCAAAAGGGUGGUCCAGCCCCAACUCUUCUUGUAUGGGAUCUGGGGACUGACCCAAGAAAGGGGACAGAGGAGGACCUCCAUCCAGCUGAGAAGGCCACCAGACAGCCCCCCAGGAGCCCACUGGCACAAUCUCAGGUCCAUCUAUCCCAGGGGCUUGGCCCAAAGCACCUCCUAUGUGGCUGUACUCAAGUGUGACCCAGCCAUGCUGGGGGACCCAUGAGGAUCUGUCCUACCCCGCCAGAGUCAGACGGCCGGUCUCAGCCGCACACAGGGGGGCCAGCAUUCCCAAGAGAGCCCCUCCCUACCAAAGCCCCCUUGCCCUCUACUCCCCCACUCCCUGGAGUCACCACAGGUAUGGAGCAAGGAGCUGUGUGCCCGCCCUGCUGACCCACUUCAGGCCCAGCCGAGGCGGCUUGGAUAAAACACUCCAGGACGUGCCAACCCAGAGGAACUGGAGGAGGCUCUUGGCUUCGUGGCUCCCAGCCAGUUCUUGCUGAGCUUGGAAGUCAGGCGGAGAGCAAGUCCCGAAUACCUCUCACCACGAGACUCCUGAGCUCCUCAUCCUUACAACCGCCUCGGAAGCAGGGCCUGCUGGGCUUGAUGGGGCGGAAGCACAAGACCCCACAGCCCAGAACUGCGCCCAGGGCUCCAGCCCUCGAAUGCAGUGUCCCAGGACUUCCCUCCUGCCCAGCAGCAGAUCUCACCCCUUGAGAAAGCCAUCUAGGCAACCAUGAAAUAGUGUCUGGAGGAUGAGACUCACCUCAGACUUCCUCUGGGAAAAACAGGAGCUUCAGAGGGGCAAGAGACCUGCUUAGGACCUGACCCCAGUGAUGCAGCAGUAGUGACCAGGCCCCUCGCCUGGACCCCACACCAAGAAUUCCCAUUUUGGAGCUGGGUCCCCUGGCUCAUGGGAAAACCCCACAGGGCCCUAGCAUGCCUCUGUCUGCAGAGCCUGGGGGUCCUGAGCAGCAAGAGGCAAAUGACACAGGGACAAGAAGAAGACAGCCCUCUCCAGAGCUCACGGUGGCAGCUGGACUCCUGAGCUGAGCUGAGGGACCCCUGGCAAAUGUGAGGGCUCAGAACUCUCCGGAGGAAUUUUUCCAAGGGGAAGACUUCUGGCCUCUCCAGAUCACUUUAUUCACCACGGAACAAAAAGCAUCACGUCUCUGUCAAAAUAAAGAAAAGGGGGAACAUGGAGAGGGAGCCGACUGCUUGGAUGCGAAUGCCCCACCCACUCCAGACCUCUGUCCUUCCCACCCCCAGCCAGGCUGGUGCCACCAACUAAACCAAGGUCCCAGAACCGGCAAGCUCAAAGGGCAGGCCCAGAGUGGGGGCUCAGGGGACCCAGAGGGUGCUCCCAGUCUGCGCCAUUCUUCUCUGUACCUGGAGCCGAGCCAGUGGGUUCCUGUGAAUGCUGAUUGACUUUUCGGACUUUGGCAAGCCGUUUCCCUUCCUGGGCCUCAGGGCCUUUGCACGGGCUAUUCGCUCUGCUGGGAAUCCCUUUCCCAGACAACUAUGCAGCUCCCUAACCCUGCUCUAAGUCUGCGCAUCUGUCACUGUCUCCAGUGGCCUUCCUUGAAAUGAUACCCCUUCCCCAUAUUUUUCUCCAAAGUAUUUACUACCUUCUUAUAAUAAACUUUA